RNAcentral lists this ribosomal RNA (451 nucleotides) under uncultured bacterium. RNAcentral's name for it is "bacterial SSU rRNA". It matches the Rfam family "Bacterial small subunit ribosomal RNA", at positions 29 to 507 of the family's 1533-position model. The record is from RNAcentral.
AAUGAACGUUGGCGGCGUGGAUUAGGCAUGCAAGUCGCGCGACAAGGAACCUUCGGGUUCUGGAGGAGCGGCAAACGGGGUAGUAAGGCAUCGGAACGUACCCUCUUGUUGGGAAUAGCCGCGGGAAACUGCGAGUAGUGCCCAAUAAUCCCUACGGGGCAAAGGUCCGCCGCAGGAGGAGCGGCCGAUGUGAUACCAGCUAGUUGGUGAGGUAAUGGCUCACCAAGGCUUAGACGUCUAGGGGGUGUGAGAGCAUGGCCCCCACCACUGGGACUGAGAUACUGCCCAGACACCUACGGGUGGCUGCAGUCGAGAAUCUUCGGCAAUGGGCGCAAGCCUGACCGAGCAACGCCGCGUGCGGGAUGAAGGCCCUUGGGUUGUAAACCGCUGUCAGGGGGGAUGAAAGCGCAAGCUUGACAGAGCCCCAGAGGAAGCACGGGCUAAGUUCGUG